Molecule: transfer RNA, 74 nt
Filed under: Thermoflexales bacterium
Lineage: Bacteria; Bacillati; Chloroflexota; Thermoflexia; Thermoflexales
Description: tRNA-Pro
Rfam family: tRNA
About the family: Transfer RNA (tRNA) molecules are approximately 80 nucleotides in length. Their secondary structure includes four short double-helical elements and three loops (D, anti-codon, and T loops).
Source: RNAcentral
CGGGGCGUAGCGCAGCCCGGUAGCGCACUCGCUUUGGGAGCGAGGGGCCGCCGGUUCAAGUCCGGCCGCCCCGA